AAGCAAGAAUUACAAUCAAAUAAUAAAAGACUCAACAAAGACUCAAUAUGUGAACUAAUAUUUUUCAAUGAGAUGCUUAGUCUUGAGCUUGGUCUUCGUAUAUAUAGUGAUUUAGGCACGCUCCUCUUUCUUCACAAAUGCUCAGACGCUCCUUGAGAAUCAUAAAGGAUGAUCUGAUUCUCUUUUGAUCUUCAUCAAGAAUGUAUAGAAACUUUCCAAAAGUGUUUAAGGACUUUAUAGGAUAAUUGUGAUCAUACCGUUG
RNAcentral lists this long non-coding RNA (262 nucleotides) under Trifolium pratense (red clover). RNAcentral's name for it is "long non-coding RNA (TPRA_LNC005544)". Lineage: Eukaryota; Viridiplantae; Streptophyta; Magnoliopsida; Fabales; Fabaceae. The record is from RNAcentral.